This 1042-nucleotide ribosomal RNA is filed under the name Micrococcus sp. Its description in RNAcentral is "bacterial SSU rRNA". It matches the Rfam family "Bacterial small subunit ribosomal RNA", at positions 418 to 1470 of the family's 1533-position model. Lineage: Bacteria; Bacillati; Actinomycetota; Actinomycetes; Micrococcales; Micrococcaceae. The record is from RNAcentral.
CUCGGUUGUAAACCUCUUUCAGUAGGGAAGAAGCGAAAGUGACGGUACCUGCAGAGAAGCACCGGCUAACUACGUGCCAGCAGCCGCGGUAAUACGUAGGGUGCGAGCGUUAUCCGGAAUUAUUGGGCGUAAAGAGCUCGUAGGCGGUUUGUCGCGUCUGUCGUGAAAGUCCGGGGCUUAACCCCGGAUCUGCGGUGGGUACGGGCAGACUAGAGUGCAGUAGGGGAGACUGGAAUUCCUGGUGUAGCGGUGGAAUGCGCAGAUAUCAGGAGGAACACCGAUGGCGAAGGCAGGUCUCUGGGCUGUAACUGACGCUGAGGAGCGAAAGCAUGGGGAGCGAACAGGAUUAGAUACCCUGGUAGUCCAUGCCGUAAACGUUGGGCACUAGGUGUGGGGACCAUUCCACGGUUUCCGCGCCGCAGCUAACGCAUUAAGUGCCCCGCCUGGGGAGUACGGCCGCAAGGCUAAAACUCAAAGGAAUUGACGGGGGCCCGCACAAGCGGCGGAGCAUGCGGAUUAAUUCGAUGCAACGCGAAGAACCUUACCAAGGCUUGACAUGUUCUCGAUCGCCGUAGAGAUACGGUUUCCCCUUUGGGGCGGGUUCACAGGUGGUGCAUGGUUGUCGUCAGCUCGUGUCGUGAGAUGUUGGGUUAAGUCCCGCAACGAGCGCAACCCUCGUUCCAUGUUGCCAGCACGUAAUGGUGGGGACUCAUGGGAGACUGCCGGGGUCAACUCGGAGGAAGGUGAGGACGACGUCAAAUCAUCAUGCCCCUUAUGUCUUGGGCUUCACGCAUGCUACAAUGGCCGGUACAAUGGGUUGCGAUACUGUGAGGUGGAGCUAAUCCCAAAAAGCCGGUCUCAGUUCGGAUUGGGGUCUGCAACUCGACCCCAUGAAGUCGGAGUCGCUAGUAAUCGCAGAUCAGCAACGCUGCGGUGAAUACGUUCCCGGGCCUUGUACACACCGCCCGUCAAGUCACGAAAGUCGGUAACACCCGAAGCCGGUGGCCUAACCCUUGUGGGGGGAGCCGUCGAAGGUGACCCG